UACGUAGGUGGCGAGCGUUGUCCGGAAUUACUGGGUGUAAAGGGAGCGCAGGCGGGAAGGCAAGUCAAGUGUUAAAUCUGUCGGCUUAACCGGCAGCUGCGCUUGAAACUGUUUUUCUUGAGUGAAGUAGAGGUAGGCGGAAUUCCUAGUGUAGCGGUGAAAUGCGUAGAUAUUAGGAGGAACACCAGUGGCGAAGGCGGCCUACUGGGCUUUAACUGACGCUGAGGCUCGAAAGCGUGGGGAGC
RNAcentral lists this ribosomal RNA (245 nucleotides) under uncultured Oscillospiraceae bacterium. RNAcentral's name for it is "partial 16S ribosomal RNA". It matches the Rfam family "Bacterial small subunit ribosomal RNA", at positions 524 to 769 of the family's 1533-position model. Lineage: Bacteria; Bacillati; Bacillota; Clostridia; Eubacteriales; Oscillospiraceae. The record is from RNAcentral.